GACGAACGCUGGCGGCGUGCUUAACACAUGCAAGUCGAGCGGUAAGGCCCUUUCGGGGGUACGACGAGCGGCGAACGGGUGAGUAACACGUGGGUGACCUGCCUUUAGUCUCUGGGAUAAGCCUGGGAAACCGGGUCUAAUACCGGAUAUGACUCCGCGGCGCAUGUUGUGGGGUGGAAAGCCUUGUGCGGCUGGAGAUGGGCCCGCGGCCUAUCAGCUUGUUGGUGGGGUGAUGGCCUACCAAGGCGACGACGGGUAGCCGGCCUGAGAGGGCGACCGGCCACACUGGGACUGAGACACGGCCCAGACUCCUACGGGAGGCAGCAGUGGGGAAGUCUUGCGCAAUGGGCGAAAGCCUGACGCAGCGACGCCGCGUGAGGGAUGACGGCCU
Molecule: ribosomal RNA, 391 nt
Filed under: uncultured bacterium
Lineage: Bacteria
Description: bacterial SSU rRNA
Rfam family: Bacterial small subunit ribosomal RNA
Source: RNAcentral